This 253-nucleotide ribosomal RNA is filed under the name uncultured bacterium. RNAcentral's name for it is "partial 16S ribosomal RNA". It matches the Rfam family "Bacterial small subunit ribosomal RNA", at positions 524 to 776 of the family's 1533-position model. The record is from RNAcentral.
UACAGAGGGGGCAAGCGUUAUUCGGAAUUAUUGGGCGUAAAGGGCGCGUAGGCGGCCUGUUAAGUCGAACGUGAAAUCCCCGGGCUCGACCCGGGAACUGCGUCCGAUACUGGCAGGCUUGAAUCCGGGAGAGGGAUGCGGAAUUCCAGGUGUAGCGGUGAAAUGCGUAGAUAUCUGGAGGAACACCGGUGGCGAAGGCGGCAUCCUGGACCGGCAUUGACGCUGAGGCGCGAAAGCCAGGGGAGCAAACGGG